GAUGAACGCUAGCGGCAGGCUUAAUACAUGCAAGUCGAGGGGCAGCAGCUUUAUAGCAAUAUAGAGGCUGGCGACCGGCAAACGGGUGCGGAACACGUACACAACCUUCCUUUAAGAGGGGGAUAGCCCAUAGAAAUGUGGAUUAAUACCCCGUAACAUAUCGGUGUGGCAUCACACUGUUAUUAUAGUUUCGACGCUUGAAGAUGGGUGUGCGGCUGAUUAGGUAGUUGGCGGGGUAAAGGCCCACCAAGCCUUCGAUCAGUAGCUGAUGUGAGAGCAUGAUCAGCCACACGGGGACUGAGACACUGGCCCGACUCCUACGGGAGGCAGCAGUAAGGAAUAUUGGUCAAUGGACGCAAGUCUGAACCAGCCAUGCCGCGUGAAGGAUGAAGGUCCUCUGGAUUGUAAACUUCUUUUAUAGGGGGCGAAAAAAGGGAAUUCUUUCUCACUUGACAGUACCCUAUGAAUAAGCACCGGCUAACUCCGUGCCAGCCGCCGCCGUAA
Molecule: ribosomal RNA, 504 nt
Filed under: uncultured bacterium
Lineage: Bacteria
Description: partial 16S ribosomal RNA
Rfam family: Bacterial small subunit ribosomal RNA
Source: RNAcentral